Molecule: ribosomal RNA, 972 nt
Filed under: Pholiota squarrosa
Lineage: Eukaryota; Fungi; Basidiomycota; Agaricomycetes; Agaricales; Strophariaceae
Description: LSU rRNA
Rfam family: Eukaryotic large subunit ribosomal RNA
Source: RNAcentral
GACCUCAAAUCAGGUAGGACUACCCGCUGAACUUAAGCAUAUCAAUAAGCGGAGGAAAAGAAACUAACAAGGAUUCCCCUAGUAACUGCGAGUGAAGCGGGAAAAGCUCAAAUUUAAAAUCUGGCGGUCUUUGGCCGUCCGAGUUGUAAUCUAGAGAAGUGUUAUCCGCGCUGGACCGUGUACAAGUCUCCUGGAAUGGAGCGUCAUAGAGGGUGAGAAUCCCGUCUUUGACACGGACUGCCAGGGCUUUGUGAUGCGCUCUCAAAGAGUCGAGUUGUUUGGGAAUGCAGCUCAAAAUGGGUGGUAAAUUCCAUCUAAAGCUAAAUAUUGGCGAGAGACCGAUAGCGAACAAGUACCGUGAGGGAAAGAUGAAAAGAACUUUGGAAAGAGAGUUAAACAGUACGUGAAAUUGCUGAAAGGGAAACGCUUGAAGUCAGUCGCGUUGUCUGGGGAUCAACCUUGCUUUUGCUGGGCGUACUUUCCAGAUGACGGGUCAGCAUCAAUUUUGACCGUUGGAUAAAGUCUGGAGGAAUGUGGCAUCUUCGGAUGUGUUAUAGCCUCUAGUUGCAUACAACGGUUGGGAUUGAGGAACUCAGCACGCCGCAAGGCCGGGUACUUGUACCACGUUCGUGCUUAGGAUGCUGGCAUAAUGGCUUUAAUCGACCCGUCUUGAAACACGGACCAAGGAGUCUAACAUGCCUGCGAGUAUUUGGGUGGAAAACCCGAGUGCGUAAUGAAAGUGAAAGUUGAGAUCCUUGUCAUGGGGAGCAUCGACGCCCGGACCAGACCUUUUGUGACGGAUCUGCGGUAGAGCAUGUAUGUUGGGACCCGAAAGAUGGUGAACUAUGCCUGAAUAGGGUGAAGCCAGAGGAAACUCUGGUGGAGGCUCGUAGCGAUUCUGACGUGCAAAUCGAUCGUCAAAUUUGGGUAUAGGGGCGAAAGACUAAUCGAACCAUCUAGUAGCUGGUUCCU